Molecule: transfer RNA, 75 nt
Filed under: uncultured Pseudomonas sp.
Lineage: Bacteria; Pseudomonadati; Pseudomonadota; Gammaproteobacteria; Pseudomonadales; Pseudomonadaceae
Description: transfer RNA-Ala
Source: RNAcentral
UAAAAAAGAGUCAAAAGAAACACAUCGAGAAACAAAGAAAGCAAGAAAUAUGUAGUAUCGCUACUACAUUGAAGG